RNAcentral lists this ribosomal RNA (374 nucleotides) under uncultured bacterium. RNAcentral describes it as "bacterial SSU rRNA". It matches the Rfam family "Bacterial small subunit ribosomal RNA", at positions 406 to 796 of the family's 1533-position model. The record is from RNAcentral.
GGAUGAAGGCCUAUGGGUUGUAAACUGCGGUAGAUAGGUAACAACGUAAGUGAGUGCCUAUCGGAAAGAGGUGGGUAACUACGUGCCAGCACCAGCGGUAAUACGUAGACCUCAAGCGUUAUCCGGAUUUAUUGGGCGUAAAGCGCGUGUAGGAGGCCAGGUGCGUCUUUUGUUAAAGCCCACCGCCUAACGGUGGAAGUGCAAAAGAUACGACUUGGCUAGAGGAGGUUAGAGGUGAGUGGAACGCACGGUGUAGGGGUGAAAUCCGUUGAUAUCGUGCGGAACACCAAAGGCGAAGGCAGCUCACUGGGGCCUUCCUGACUCUGAGACGCGAAAGCGUGGGGAGCAAAAAGGAUUAGAUACCCGUGUAGUCC